This 507-nucleotide ribosomal RNA is filed under the name uncultured Gigasporaceae. RNAcentral's name for it is "SSU rRNA". It matches the Rfam family "Eukaryotic small subunit ribosomal RNA", at positions 569 to 1078 of the family's 1831-position model. The record is from RNAcentral. Lineage: Eukaryota; Fungi; Glomeromycota; Glomeromycetes; Diversisporales; Gigasporaceae.
AGCAGCCGCGGUAAUUCCAGCUCCAAUAGCGUAUAUUAAAGUUGUUGCAGUUAAAAAGCUCGUAGUUGAAUUUCGGGGUUCUACCGUUGGUCGGGCAAUUGUCUGUACUGGCGUGUGGAAUUUCUACCUUCUGGGGAACCAUCAUGUUAUUAAUUUAGCGUGGUGGGAAACCAGGACCUUUACCUUGAAAAAUUAGAGUGUCCAAAGCAGGCUCAUGUCUGAAUACAUUAGCAUGGAAUAAUAAAAUAGGACGGUGGUCCUGUUUGUUGGUUUCUGAAUCGCCGUAAUGAUUAAUAGGGAUAGUUGGGGGCAUUAGUAUUCAAUUUGUCUAGAGGUGAAAUUCUUGGAUUUAUUGAAGACCAACUUCUGCGAAAGCAUUUGCCAAGGAUGUUUUCAUUAAUCAAGAACGAAAGUUAGGGGAUCGAAAGACGAUCAGAUACCGUCGUAGUCUUAACCAUAAACCUAUGCCGACUAGGGAUCGGACGAUGUUAAUUUUUCUUGACUUCG